UAACCUGCCAAGAGAUCGGGAUAACACCUGGAAACAGAUGCUAAUACCGGAUAACAACAGAUGAUGCCUAUCAACUGUUUAAAAGAUGGUUCUGCUAUCACUCUUGGAUGGACCUGCGGUGCAUUAGCUAGUUGGUAGGGUAACGGCCUACCAAGGCGAUGAUGCAUAGCCGAGUUGAGAGACUGAUCGGCCACAUUGGGACUGAGACACGGCCCAAACUCCUACGGGAGGCAGCAGUC
RNAcentral lists this ribosomal RNA (239 nucleotides) under uncultured Lactobacillus sp. RNAcentral's name for it is "partial 16S ribosomal RNA". It matches the Rfam family "Bacterial small subunit ribosomal RNA", at positions 122 to 355 of the family's 1533-position model. The record is from RNAcentral. Lineage: Bacteria; Bacillati; Bacillota; Bacilli; Lactobacillales; Lactobacillaceae.